AUUGAACGCUGGCGGCAUGCCUUACACAUGCAAGUCGAACGGUAACAGGUUAAGCUGACGAGUGGCGAACGGGUGAGUAAUAUAUCGGAACGUGCCCAGUCGUGGGGGAUAACGUAGCGAAAGCUACGCCAAUACCGCAUACGAUCUACGGAUGAAAGCGGGGGAUCGCAAGACCUCGCGCGGUUGGAGCGGCCGAUAUCAGAUUAGGUUGUUGGUGAGGUAAAAGCUCACCAAGCCUGCGAUCUGUAGCUGGUCUGAGAGGACGACCAGCCACACUGGAACUGAGACACGGUCCAGACUCCUACGGGAGGCAGCAGUGGGGAAUUUUGGACAAUGGACGCAAGUCUGAUCCAGCAACGCCGCGUGCAGGACGAAGGCCUUCGGGUUGUAAACUGCUUUUGUACGGAACGAAACGGUGAGCUCUAAUAUAGUUUGCUAAUGACGGUACCGUAAGAAUAAGCACCGGCUAACUACGUGCCAGCAGCCGCCGUAA
This 493-nucleotide ribosomal RNA is filed under the name uncultured bacterium. Its description in RNAcentral is "partial 16S ribosomal RNA". It matches the Rfam family "Bacterial small subunit ribosomal RNA", at positions 30 to 523 of the family's 1533-position model. The record is from RNAcentral.